CUUGGGGACGUUGGGGACCCUCCUGCUGACGUUGUCCCCUCCUGUCCCCUCAGGCUGCCACCGCUGCCCACAUCCUGCUCAGUGCCAGCUCGCUGUCACCGUCCCUGUCACCGCGCUACGAGGACGGCGUCCAGGGCGUUUUCCUGAGCGGUGACAUCCAGCUGGACACCUCGAGGACGCUACGGGUGACAUCCGGUGGCCUCUACCUCCUCUACGGCCAGCUGGGUGUCACCUGCACCGCGGCCACCUGUCCCCAAGGCGCCGUCACCCUGCAGCUGCGCCGCGCCGGGUCCCCAAGGCCGCUGCUGGCCGUGCCACUGUCCCUGCCGGCCGCCACCGGGGGCCACCGGCAGCGGUCAGCGCUGGCCCAGGCCGUGGGACAGCUGUGGCCUGGGGACACGCUGAGCCUCCAGCUGGUUGGGGACACCGCUGGGGACACCGCUGGGGACACCGCUGGGGACACGGGCGGGUGGCAGCUGGAGCAGGAGGAGCGCGAGGGAAACUUCGUGGGGCUGCUGCGGAUCGCGGGGGGGUGACGAGUGGUGGCACCGGGCGGUGGCACCCGGUGGUGACACACGGGUGGUGAGGGGGUGGCCGGCCUGGUCACCUGCCGGGGGGGGGCUUGGGGACAUCGGGGAGUCCCGAGUGUGGAGGUUUGGGGACGUCAAGGGACAUCGGUGACGUCCAAACCCAGAGAUGUGGGGACAAGGGACAUCGGUGACAUCCAAACCUGGAGGUCUGGGGACAAGGGACAUCAGUGACGUCCAAACCUGGAGGUUUGGGGACAAGACCACAACACCCAGAGAUUUGGGGACAUCAAGUGACAUCGGUGACCUCCAAACCUGGAGAUUCGGGGACAAGGGACAUCGGUGACAUCCCUGGUUGGAGAUUUGGGGACAAGACCGCAACACCCAGAGAUGUGGGGACAAGGAACAUCGGUGACAUCCAAACCCAGAGAUUUGGGGACACCAGGUGACAUUGGUGACCUCCACACCUAGAGAUUUGGGGACACUGAGUGACAUCGGUGAUGUCCACACCUGGAGGUUUGGGGACAGCAAGUGACAUUGGUGACGUUCAUGGCCGAAGAUUUGAGUGACAAAACCUUGUCCCCAAAGACUGGGGACACCAGGUGACAUCGGUGACCUCCACACCUGGAAGUUUGGGGACACCAAGUGACAUCGGUGACAUCCACACCUGAAGGUUUGGGGACAUCAGGUGACAUCGGUGACCCCCCCCCCCAGUUUGGUGCUUGGGGACAUUCGGGGACCUCGUGGACCCAGUGCUGGACACUUGGGGACACUUGGGGACAUGGUGCUGGACACUUGGGACCUCCUUGGGGACACUGGGGACGCUUUGGGGGGGAGAGUCCCUGCUGUCCUUAAUUAAUUAUUGCCCUUAAUUAAUUAUUUAUUCAUUAUUGUCCUUAAUUAAUUAUUUAUUAAUGGAUGAAUAAAAAUAUUUAUGGAUUCUUU
Molecule: long non-coding RNA, 1472 nt
Organism: Pyrgilauda ruficollis (rufous-necked snowfinch)
Lineage: Eukaryota; Metazoa; Chordata; Aves; Passeriformes; Passeridae
Exons: 2
Source: RefSeq, a predicted model, not a curated record